CAACCCAGACCGCCAGCUAAGGUCCCAAAGUCAUGGUUAAGUGGGAAACGAUGUGGGAAGGCCCAGACAGCCAGGAUGUUGGCUUAGAAGCAGCCAUCAUUUAAAGAAAGCGUAAUAGCUCACUGGUCGAGUCGGCCUGCGCGGAAGAUGUAACGGGGCUAAACCAUGCACCGAAGCUGCGGCAGCGAACGUAUCACUUAAAGCGAUUCAGCGGGUUACGAUUGACGGAGCGAAGCGACGUCAAAGCGUAUACAAAGUCGAGUCGGUUUAAGGAUACGUUCGUUGGGUAGGGGAGCGUUCUGUAAGCCUGUGAAGGUGGCCUGUGAGGGUUGCUGGAGGUAUCAGAAGUGCGAAUGCUGACAUAAGUAACGAUAAAGCGGGUGAAAAGCCCGCUCGCCGGAAGACCAAGGGUUCCUGUCCAACGUUAAUCGGGGCAGGGUGAGUCGACCCCUAAGGCGAGGCCGAAAGGCGUAGUCGAUGGGAAACGGGUUAAUAUUCCCGUACUUGGUGUUACUGCGAAGGGGGGACGGAGAAGGCUAUGUUGG
This 545-nucleotide ribosomal RNA is filed under the name Salmonella enterica. RNAcentral describes it as "partial 23S ribosomal RNA". It matches the Rfam family "Bacterial large subunit ribosomal RNA", at positions 1023 to 1490 of the family's 2925-position model. The record is from RNAcentral. Lineage: Bacteria; Pseudomonadati; Pseudomonadota; Gammaproteobacteria; Enterobacterales; Enterobacteriaceae.